This is a long non-coding RNA of Apis dorsata (giant honeybee), 127 nucleotides long. RefSeq lists it as uncharacterized. The transcript has 2 exons. Lineage: Eukaryota; Metazoa; Arthropoda; Insecta; Hymenoptera; Apidae. The record is from RefSeq and is a predicted model, not a curated record.
AUAAAUAUAUAUAUAUAUAUAUAUAUACAUAUGAUGAAUAUAUAUAUAUAUAUAUAUAUAAAAUCACUAACCUGACAUGAACUCCAUCAGAUAUAUGCUGAACUAAAUCUCCAAUAAUCUCGUGUUU